Molecule: long non-coding RNA, 1135 nt
Filed under: Mytilus galloprovincialis (Mediterranean mussel)
Lineage: Eukaryota; Metazoa; Mollusca; Bivalvia; Mytilida; Mytilidae
Source: RNAcentral
UGGUACAAAACCUACAUAUUUUAAAGACUAGCAUCUUGUGUCAAUUGGAGUACUUCCCCCUUUUCUUGCCUUUCUUCUUAACAUGAAUAAGAUAAUUCUUAAAACAUAAAAGAUACUGACAUAAACACAUUUACAAAUGUAUCUAGUGUACUAGUGAUGAAUAAAAUCCCCUCCUUUUUCCACAAUUCUAAGGGCUCAUUAAUUUAUCUGUAUUCAUGUAAUGCAUGUCCAGAGUUCUGUUAAUCAAACAAGCAUUACAACCCAUAAUUAAUUUAUCUGCAAAAAUUGUCUGUCCUGCUGCAUAUUUCCAUUCCGUUUUAAACCUAGCCCUGAAAAACCUUGCACUUGGAUAAUAUUAGUAUAAACACCAUGUCUAUUUGUGCCAACCUUCCAAAUUUUUAAUAUUUUGCUAUCCUAAUUUGGUACAGAUCCUUUAUCCUCAAAACUUAUCAGGGGCAGUAGGCGUGUUUGUACAUGUUGUAUGGUAGUUAGUCACUCCUUACAUGUAUGAUUACUAGCCUCUAGGUAUUGGUUUGAGCCCUAGUUGGGCAGUUGCAAAAUUAAGGUUUGAUUUUCAUGUCAUAUGUGAUAAGGUUAGUCAGUUUCCUUCCGCAGGUUGGCGUUUUCCUUCAAGUACUACGGUUUAGUAAGCCACUAAAACUGACUGCCAUGAAAUUACCCAUAUGGUGUAAAAAGUGAUGUUUAUAAAACCAUGAAAACCAAAGCAAACAAUCAAAGUUUAAAAUCUUUGUCCAUUUGUACAAGGAGCCGUAGUGGUUAAGCCAUUUAACUUAUGGUUAUUUUACCAAACUGUGACCACAACUUCAAGAUGUGACAUCAGGCCUCUGUUCAAUGGGCAGUCCCACAACUCUGCCAACAAAACUGACUGUCUUACAUGAAAUUAUCCAUAUGCUGUAGAAUGUGACAUUGACGGUUGACCCCUUUCAAAGAAACCACCAGCAUGUACACACAACAAUGCUGCAAUGCUUUGGACAAAAUUGAUCUAGAGACUUCAUGAUUAACAUGGAUAAAGCUUUUAAAUGUAAAAAAAAAAAAAAAAAUUCCCUACCUACCUACCCACCUGCUGAUAGUGUGGGUCGGCAAUGCCAAACAAACAAUUUUUUAAGGGUGGCCC